AGCUUUUCCUCUUUUCUUGUUCACGUCAGAAUUGGGCUGAGAGAAAGGAACCUCGUUCAGCUCCACCCUUCCACGUUGCCAGCAUGCAUAUGGCAACUCCUCCAAGAACAUCAUCUCAGACCUUCAAAAGGGAGAACCCAGGCCAUAAAUCGUCAUUCACCCUUCUCUUCUCACCUUUCCUCUCGUCCCUGGACACAUCAGUCUGUUUGCGAGCCCCGAAACGCCUAGUUAGAGACCUCCGAUCAAAAAACUUUCUUCAUCAAAGUUGUUCGUCUACGUCUCCUUUAUCUAGUUUCCAAAUUUCAGCUUCAUCGGAGACGUUUUGAGACCUGUACAUCCCUCGAAGCAGAAGCUGUUCGGAAGCGAGCCUGUUCCGGAUUUCUGCUUAAACUCCCUCUCUUGCUCUACCCGAAUCCCCAACACCUUGCUUGAGACUGAUACCAACAGUUGUCUCUGUUUCACUUUGCAUGUUCGAGAUUGAGCAAACUUCUUGGCCUGCAACUAGGCUCGAUCCAAUCAACUCUCUCAGCUCUCAUUCCUGUCGAAUCCCUCAAGAAAAACUCAUCUUUUUGGUUAGUCUUUGGCUCGAUACUGUGGUGGAAUCUUGUGAAGUUGGUGGUUGCUACAAGGUUUCAUUGAGGCCAAGUGCUGCAAGAGAAAGCUCGAGUUCCAGAUUGGAUUGAUGUGUUGGCUAUUGAUGGGGAUGUAAGGAGAGGUCAGUUCCUCCUUGAGCCACCGGUGGUGGGCAGUGUGCACCAUGCCCUUGUUGUUGAAUAAUCCCCUUUGUCUCUAGCCUUGUGAUUAUUGAAUCCCGGAAAGUGAUUGGCUAGAUGGACGGUUAUGAUGAAAGUUGUGGAAGAAGAUCAAUUGCCGUGAGAUUGUAAUUACGUGGUGACGAUCACGUGGAAUCGCAAACCGGUUUUUAUCUAUUACUUUUUCUCAAAACGAUAACUCAUAUUUUUAAACUUAGAUAUGGGGGCGGGCAUGGGCAAUGACUGGAUGUAGGAGCCUAACCCCUACUUUAGUUUGUUUUGCAGGCUGUUGUUGUCGAAGCUUGGGUACGGAGGAUAAUCCUUGGAGGCCAAAAUUUAUUUUGUUUAAAGUUUAUUUUAUUUGGCUUGUUUGAUUUCGUUAAAUUUUUGUAACGUUAUGUAUGGUUGAUGAUGUGUGUGAUUGCUUACCACCAAAGUGGAACCCUAGGGUUAGAACCUCCAUUUGAGUUUAGGUCCUAGUGGGCUAGACCUAGAAGACUCACGUAAAUUACCUUUCAAUGAACCUAAUGUAAACUUGGGCUAAGAACUAAAAAAAUGACGUAGGUUCUAAACUCAACACAACACCACCUUCCUUUCCUCUUCAUCGCCUAGUUCGUAAUCUUGUGAUUACGAGCCAAGCCCACUAUACAAGCCCAAAAAAAUUUCGGGCUUAUAGAUUUCUUGUUUUCCAACCUUUGAGGAAUUCUAGGCCCAAAACACUUACUCCAAGUGUUGCGGGUGUAGGGUUCCUUGGGGAGGUGGCGCUGUGGUAAUCCGGUCUCCGGGUCGCCACAACGUUGCAGGCAGGAAGAGAGAGGUAUUGAGCUUUGCUGUUUUGUAUUUAGUUGUGUUUUAUUCAGGCUGAUUUUCUUGAAUUUGUUAUGUGUGUUUUCUAGUUUUGUAGUGGUUAUAAUCGGUGUUUGCUUCGUUUUUGUUUUGUAUCCAAUUAUUUGCUUUUUGAUUGGGUCCCGUUUGUGACGAGAAGAUUGGGUUGAAAAUAAGUGGAACAGGUAUGGUAUUUGGUUGAAAAUUGUGUGUGUUCUGAUGGGGCUUUAGCUUCAGAGCACAAAUACUCUGAACUUUUGUUUUGGGUCUGUUUAAGUUGAUCGGUUUCUUUCAUUUCUGAGUUGAAUUGAAAGAGAAUGGGGUUGAUUAGUUUGAUUAGGUUUUUACAAGUUUGGUUCUUCUGAGGAAUUUGUAUUUGAUUCAUUGCAGAUACAGGUUCUGGGCGGUUGAUUAGGCUGAUUGGGGAAAACAGUGGAGCUGCAAACGCCAAAAAUCUACUGGUGAAGACAAUUGAUGAAAUUGAUGCUAUUGUUUCAAAAGUUAUGAACUUUUUUGUUUUGUUCUUCUUGCUAAUAGUUAUUAAGUUAAUGUGGGUGUGGAAAAGUGCAAACUUGAAAAACUUGAAGAUUAUAGGAUGACAUUUUAUCUUUCUUGGUAGGACUUGAGUGUUCUUCGGUUAUGUCAUAUUAUGGUUUUAAGUCUUAGUCUUGACAUAUUUUUCCUCCAAAAUUUUACUCUGAUAUCUAUGCACAACCUCAUUUAUGUACCCAAAAUAGUUUCACUUGGAAAUGAAAUUUUGGUAUGGGAAUCAGUAAUUUUGAUUGAGAUCUUACAGUUAUGCAGUUUUCUAAGGUUGAAUUGCUCUGACAGGGCUUGGAAAGCAGAAGCACAGCUCUGUCAGGUUAAAGCAGAUGCAGAGAAAAUGAGAAUUGGAUUUCUUGAAAUUGGUGGUCAGCCGAAAUGGAGCAUUUAAGACAUACCUAUGAUGCCCAGGCAUGUUUGUUCUUCUAAAAGGCCGCACUAGGGAAGAGUCUUUUCAGAUUGGACAGGAGGUUACAUUUAAAAUCAGUGCUAUGAGUCCAAUUCCAGUUCCUUUGAAGAUGGAAAAAGUUUAUCAACCAUGCUUCCUCCUCACCAAGAAGCGAUAAACCAUUGUCAGAUAGAGUCCAAGUAGUACAAAAGGCCAAGUUAAGCUUCAAUGGAGAAGCUUCUUAAUCCAUAUGAUAAGGAGCAGGAGAGAAGAGAUACAAGUGAUGCUGUGGGAGAGUGGCUAACACAGUUUCUAAGGUCUCUGAAAUUCAUUUACUUGACUCUUAGGCCAGCGGCUACAACAUUUCUAUUCGUUUACUUUAGCAUUCCCUACUCCCUGCAAUAUUUGAUGUUGUCAUAGAAUGCUAUGAUAGAAUGAUAUUGUAAACUGCAAUAAUGUAAACCAAACAAUUUUAGAGAAAUGAAACUUUAACCUCUUAUUUUAUCAUUGUGAUCAAGAUAAAAUAAUCUAGCCACAUCCUUCAAUGCAGAAAUACCCAAAAGAAUAAUCAAAAUUUCCCAAAUUCAGAUCAAGAUUUCAACUUGUAACUUUUGCUUCUAAUUUCAACAAUCGAGUACUCGGAUAUCAAAACCUUAGCUUUGAUGAUAGUAGAUAUCAACAAAUUUCAACAAACUGUACUGAAUUUGAACAAUUUCGAGAAUGAACUUAUCUGAAUUUUGAAUUGAAACUUGAAUCAAUCUCUGAUGUGAAUGAAAUGAGAGCAAGAAUGAGCAUGAGCUUCAUAAAACACAAUCAGCUUGGUCACCAAUCCUGAUUUCCGAUCCAUUUUCCUUAAAUAUUUCCUUUUUUUAUUAUUAUUAUAGCAGGCCAACAAAAAAUUAUUUUUUUGAGGCCCCUGAAAUUUGAGGUUUGAGGCCCUAGGCCUUGGCCUGCUUCGCCUAGGCUCAAGGCCGGCCCUGAUCAGAGCCCAAGUAGUAGAUUCGUGUGGGACGAGUUAGACAAGAUACUUAAACGGUCUUAAAGGUAAGAGUCGAGUCACCUUGUUGCUAUAUA
Rosa rugosa (rugosa rose) is the source of this 3582-nucleotide long non-coding RNA. RefSeq lists it as uncharacterized. The transcript is spliced from 9 exons. Lineage: Eukaryota; Viridiplantae; Streptophyta; Magnoliopsida; Rosales; Rosaceae. The record is from RefSeq and is a predicted model, not a curated record.